UAACACAUCUAGCCUCAAAGUACAGAUAGAGAGAAAUAAACUCUCACAUAGUGGAUUCAAGAUCGGAGAAAUAAACUCCUUAAUAAUUAAGCAACGCCAUAGAGAAUAGGAAAAAUAAAUUCCUAUGUAAACAUGCAUAUCAUAAGUAGUAGAAAAGUAAAUUCUACCUACUCCCCCUCAAUAUAUGCAUAAACUUCACUCCCUCUCAAAACUUGCAUAUCACAUAGAACAGACAUG
RNAcentral lists this long non-coding RNA (237 nucleotides) under Trifolium pratense (red clover). RNAcentral describes it as "long non-coding RNA (TPRA_LNC011501)". Lineage: Eukaryota; Viridiplantae; Streptophyta; Magnoliopsida; Fabales; Fabaceae. The record is from RNAcentral.